UGGGAAGUAAAAAUCGUAACAAGGUCUCUGUUGGUGAUCGACGCGGUGGGGUCAUU
RNAcentral lists this ribosomal RNA (56 nucleotides) under Trichoderma harzianum. RNAcentral describes it as "partial 18S ribosomal RNA". Lineage: Eukaryota; Fungi; Ascomycota; Sordariomycetes; Hypocreales; Hypocreaceae. The record is from RNAcentral.